RNAcentral lists this ribosomal RNA (352 nucleotides) under uncultured Desulfovibrio sp. Its description in RNAcentral is "bacterial SSU rRNA". It matches the Rfam family "Bacterial small subunit ribosomal RNA", at positions 1030 to 1382 of the family's 1533-position model. Lineage: Bacteria; Pseudomonadati; Thermodesulfobacteriota; Desulfovibrionia; Desulfovibrionales; Desulfovibrionaceae. The record is from RNAcentral.
GGUGACAGGUGCUGCAUGGCUGUCGUCAGCUCGUGUCGUGAGAUGUUGGGUUAAGUCCCGCAACGAGCGCAACCCUCGCCUUUAGUUGCCAGCAUUCAGUUGGGCACUCUAGAGGGACUGCCGGUGUCAAACCGGAGGAAGCGGGAUGACGUCAAGUCCUCAUGGCCUUUAUGUCUAGGGCUACACACGUACUACAAUGGCCGGUACAAAGGGCAGCCACUCAGCGAUGAGGCGCGAAAUCCCAUAAAGCCGGUCUCAGUCCGGAUCGCAGUCUGCAACUCGACUGCGUGAAGUUGGAAUCGCUAGUAAUCGUAGAUCAGCAUGCUACGGUGAAUACCGGUUCCCGGGCCUU